AGACCCGAAACCCGGUGAUCUAGCCAUGGGCAGGUUGAAGGUUGGGUAACACUAACUGGAGGACCGAACCGACUAAUGUUGAAAAAUUAGCGGAUGACCUGUGGCUGGGGGUGAAAGGCCAAUCAAACCGGGAGAUAGCUGGUUCUCCCCGAAAGCUAUUUAGGUAGCGCCUCGUGAAUUCAUCUCCGGGGGUAGAGCACUGUUUCGGCUAGGGGGCCAUCCCGGCUUACCAACCCGAUGCAAACUGCGAAUACCGGAGAAUGUUAUCACGGGAGACACACGGCGGGUGCUAACGUCCGUCGUGAAGAGGGAAACAACCCAGACCGCCAGCUAAGGUCCCAAAGUCAUGGUUAAGUGGGAAACGAUGUGGGAAGGCCCAGACAGCCAGGAUGUUGGCUUAGAAGCAGCCAUCAUUUAAAGAAAGCGUAAUAGCUCACUGGUCGAGUCGGCCUGCGCGGAAGAUGUAACGGGGCUAAACCAUGCACCGAAGCUGCGGCAGCGAACGUAUCACCCAAGACAACUUUACGGAGUUGACGAUUGACGGAGCGAAGCGACGUCAAAGCGUUCAUUAAAGUCGAGUUGGCUUAGGGAUACGUUCGUUGGGUAGGGGAGCGUUCUGUAAGCCUGUGAAGGUGUGUCGUGAGGCAUGCUGGAGGUAUCAGAAGUGCGAAUGCUGACAUAAGUAACGAUAAAGCGGGUGAAAAGCCCGCUCGCCGGAAGACCAAGGGUUCCUGUCCAACGUUAAUCGGGGCAGGGUGAGUCGACCCCUAAGGCGAGGCCGAAAGGCGUAGUCGAUGGGAAACGGGUUAAUAUUCCCGUACUUGGUGUUACUGCGAAGGGGGGACGGAGAAGGCUAUGUUGGCCGGGCGACGGUUGUCCCGGUUUAAGCGUGUAGGUGUGUGUUCCAGGUAAAUCCGGUUCACUUUAACACUGAGGCGUGAUGACGAGGCACUACGGUGCUGAAGCAACAAAUGCCCUGCUUCCAGGAAAAGCCUCUAAGCAUCAGGUAACAUCAAAUCGUACCCCAAACCGACACAGGUGGUCAGGUAGAGAAUACCAAGGCGCUUGAGAGAACUCGGGUGAAGGAACUAGGCAAAAUGGUGCCGUAACUUCGGGAGAAGGCACGCUGACACGUAGGUGAAGUGAUUUACUCACGGAGCUGAAGUCAGUCGAAGAUACCAGCUGGCUGCAACUGUUUAUUAAAAACACAGCACUGUGCAAACACGAAAGUGGACGUAUACGGUGUGACGCCUGCCCGGUGCCGGAAGGUUAAUUGAUGGGGUCAGCGCAAGCGAAGCUCCUGAUCGAAGCCCCGGUAAACGGCGGCCGU
Molecule: ribosomal RNA, 1330 nt
Filed under: Salmonella enterica
Lineage: Bacteria; Pseudomonadati; Pseudomonadota; Gammaproteobacteria; Enterobacterales; Enterobacteriaceae
Description: partial 23S ribosomal RNA
Rfam family: Bacterial large subunit ribosomal RNA
Source: RNAcentral